AAGAAGUUUGUAAAAAAUGAAUCCCCCUCAACAAUAUAGAACUUAUCUACAACCUGUUGUGAUUAAUAUACAUUUAGAAGCUUUAGGUAUUCAUUUGUGAAGUGGGCAGGCUGGGUUCCAGUGGGCACUUUGAAACUGCGAAAAAAUUCAACAUCCCCCCAACUCAGAGGCCCCAAAAU
Long non-coding RNA from Dendroctonus ponderosae (mountain pine beetle), 179 nucleotides. RefSeq lists it as uncharacterized. The transcript has 2 exons. NCBI's taxonomy places the organism in Eukaryota, Metazoa, Arthropoda, Insecta, Coleoptera, Curculionidae. The record is from RefSeq and is a predicted model, not a curated record.